RNAcentral lists this ribosomal RNA (254 nucleotides) under uncultured bacterium. RNAcentral describes it as "partial 16S ribosomal RNA". It matches the Rfam family "Bacterial small subunit ribosomal RNA", at positions 524 to 776 of the family's 1533-position model. The record is from RNAcentral.
UACGUAGGGGGCAAGCGUUGUCCGGAUUUAUUGGGCGUAAAAGGCUUGUAGGUGGCCACGCCAAGUCGGAUGUGAAAUCUCCCGGCUCAACUGGGAGGGGUCAUUCGAUACUGGCGGGCUCGAGGCCGGUAGGGGGAAGUGGAAUUCCCGGUGUAGUGGUGGAAUGCGUAGAUAUCGGGAGGAACACCGAUGGCGAAGGCAGGUCUCUGGGCCACUACUGACGCUGAGAAGCGAAAGCAUGGGGAGCGAACAGG